This 223-nucleotide long non-coding RNA is filed under the name Lathyrus oleraceus (garden pea). RNAcentral's name for it is "Pisum sativum (pea) long non-coding RNA (PSAT_LNC011935)". Lineage: Eukaryota; Viridiplantae; Streptophyta; Magnoliopsida; Fabales; Fabaceae. The record is from RNAcentral.
UGAAAUUGAAGAUGAUUGAGAGAGUUGGAUAGAAUGGAUAGACUUGAUAGUUACUGGAUGAAAUCAUACUAACUUUCAAGUGGAGGGAGAAGAGUCUUUGUAGUUGUUUCUCGUGUUGAAGAUGAAGACCUUAUCAAUCGUUUGAUUCGAAUUGCACUAAACUCUAUGAAUGGAGGUGAAUACGAUGAGUGCUGGGUCAUACGUCCCAUACCCAAAGAUACUC